UACGGAGGGUGCGAGCGUUAUUCGGAAUUACUGGGCGUAAAGCGCGUGCAGGCGGCUCGAGAAGUCUGAUGUGAAAGCCCCGGGCUUAACCCGGGAAGUGCAUUGGAAACUCUCGGGCUUGAGUGCUGGAGAGGAAGGGAGAAUUCCCGGUGUAGAGGUGAAAUUCGUAGAGAUCGGGAGGAACACCAGUGGCGAAGGCGCCCUUCUGGACAGCAACUGACGCUGAGACGCGAAAGCGUGGGGAGCAAAC
Molecule: ribosomal RNA, 250 nt
Filed under: uncultured bacterium
Lineage: Bacteria
Description: partial 16S ribosomal RNA
Rfam family: Bacterial small subunit ribosomal RNA
Source: RNAcentral